GCCCGGGUGGCGAAAUCGGUAGACGCAAGGGACUUAAAAUCCCUCGACCGCGGUCAUGCGGGUUCGAGUCCCGCCCCGGGCACCA
This 85-nucleotide transfer RNA is filed under the name Caldichromatium japonicum. RNAcentral describes it as "tRNA-Leu". It matches the Rfam family "tRNA". From Rfam's summary of the family: Transfer RNA (tRNA) molecules are approximately 80 nucleotides in length. The record is from RNAcentral. Lineage: Bacteria; Pseudomonadati; Pseudomonadota; Gammaproteobacteria; Chromatiales; Chromatiaceae.